ACCCGCUGAACUUAAGCAUAUCAAUAAGCGGAGGAAAAGAAACCAACAGGGAUUGCCUUAGUAACGGCGAGUGAAGCGGCAAAAGCUCAAAUUUGAAAUCGGCCCCCAGGUCGAGUUGUAAUUUGUAGAUUGUAUCUUGAGAGCGGAUUAAAGUCUGUUGGAACACAGCGCCUUAGAGGGUGACAGCCCCGUAAAAUCUAUUCUCAUUGUAAGAUACUUUCGAAGAGUCGAGUUGUUUGGGAAUGCAGCUCUAAGUGGGAGGUAAAUUCCUUCUAAAGCUAAAUAUUGGCGAGAGACCGAUAGCGAACAAGUACUGUGAAGGAAAGAUGAAAAGCACUUUGAAAAGAGAGUGAAAAAGUACGUGAAAUUGUUAAAAGGGAAGGGUAUUGAAUCAGACUUGGUGCUGUUGUUCAACUGUGUUUUGGCACAGUGUACUCAGCAGUACUAGGCCAAGGUGGGGUGUUUGGGAGUGAAAAAGAAGUUGGAACGUAACUCUUCGGAGUGUUAUAGCCUACUUUCAUAGCUCCUCAGGCGCCUCAGGACUGCGCUUCGGCAAGGACCUUGGCAUAAUGAUUCUAUACCGCCCGUCUUGAAACACGGACCAAGGGGCCGUCUUGAAACACGGACCAAGGAG
Molecule: ribosomal RNA, 634 nt
Filed under: uncultured fungus
Lineage: Eukaryota; Fungi
Description: eukaryotic LSU rRNA
Rfam family: Eukaryotic large subunit ribosomal RNA
Source: RNAcentral